Molecule: ribosomal RNA, 497 nt
Filed under: uncultured bacterium
Lineage: Bacteria
Description: partial 16S ribosomal RNA
Rfam family: Bacterial small subunit ribosomal RNA
Source: RNAcentral
GAUGAACGCUGGCGGCGUGCCUAAUACAUGCAAGUCGAGCGAACAGACGAGGAGCUUGCUCCUCUGACGUUAGCGGCGGACGGGUGAGUAACACGUGGAUAACCUACCUAUAAGACUGGGAUAACUUCGGGAAACCGGAUCUAAUCCCGUAUAACAUGCUGAACCGCAUGGUUCAACAGUGAAAGACGGUCUUGCUGUCACUUAUAGAUGGAUCCGUGCCGCAUUAGCAAGUUGGUAAGGUAACGGCUUACCAAGGCAACGAUGCGUAGCCGACCUGAGAGAGUGAUCGGCCACACUGGAACUGAGACACGGUCCAGACUCCUACGGGAGGCAGCAGUAGGGAAUCUUACGCAAUGGGCGAAAGCCUGACGGAGCAGCGCCGCGUGAGUGAAGAAGGUCUUCGGAUCGUAAAACUCUGUUAUUAGGGAAGAACAAAUGUGUAAGUAACUAUGCACGUCUUGACGGUACCUAAUCAGAAAGCCACGGCUAACUACGUG